Molecule: ribosomal RNA, 250 nt
Filed under: uncultured prokaryote
Description: partial 16S ribosomal RNA
Rfam family: Bacterial small subunit ribosomal RNA
Source: RNAcentral
UACGGGGGGUGUAAGCGUUGUUCGGAAUUACUGGGCGUAAAGGGCGUGCAGGCGGUCGCCGCAAGUUGAAUGUGAAAUCCCUGGGCUUAACCUAGGACGUGCGUUCAAGACUGCGGGACUUGAAUACGGGAGAGGGUCGUGGAAUUCCUGGUGUAGAGGUGAAAUUCGUAGAUAUCAGGAGGAACACUCGUGGCGAAGGCGACGACCUGGACCGAUAUUGACGCUGAGACGCGAAAGCGUGGGUAGCAAA